GAUGAACGUUGGCGGUGCGCUUUAUGCAUGCAAGUCGAGCGAGAAGCAGUUGUUCCGUAAGGUUCAAUUGUGGACAGCGGCGAACGGGUGCGUAACACGUGAGAAACCUGCCCCCCAGACCGGGAUAGCCCAGGGAAACUUGGAUUAAUACCGGAUACUCUCUUUGGACCGCAUGGUCCGUUGAGGAAAGGUCCGCUGCUGGGGGAUGGUCUCGCGGCCUAUCAGGUAGUUGGUGAGGUAACGGCUCACCAAGCCGAAGACGGGUAGCUGGUCUGAGAGGACGAUCAGCCACACUGGAACUGAGACACGGUCCAG
RNAcentral lists this ribosomal RNA (315 nucleotides) under uncultured bacterium. Its description in RNAcentral is "bacterial SSU rRNA". It matches the Rfam family "Bacterial small subunit ribosomal RNA", at positions 28 to 334 of the family's 1533-position model. The record is from RNAcentral.